Molecule: ribosomal RNA, 211 nt
Filed under: Herichthys minckleyi
Lineage: Eukaryota; Metazoa; Chordata; Actinopteri; Cichliformes; Cichlidae
Description: partial 18S ribosomal RNA
Rfam family: Eukaryotic small subunit ribosomal RNA
Source: RNAcentral
CAUGGCCGUUCUUAGUUGGUGGAGCGAUUUGUCUGGUUAAUUCCGAUAACGAACGAGACUCCGACAUGCUAACUAGUUACUCGACCCCCGUGCGGUCCGAGUCCAACUUCUUAGAGGGACAAGUGGCGUUCAGCCACACGAGAUUGAGCAAUAACAGGUCUGUGAUGCCCUUAGAUGUCCGGGGCUGCACGCGCGCCACACUGAGCGGAUC